Molecule: ribosomal RNA, 279 nt
Filed under: uncultured bacterium
Lineage: Bacteria
Description: partial 16S ribosomal RNA
Rfam family: Bacterial small subunit ribosomal RNA
Source: RNAcentral
UGCCAGCCGCCGCGGUAAUACGGAGGGCGCAAGCGUUGUUCGGAUUUAUUGGGUUUAAAGGGUGCGCAGGCGGAAUAUUAAGUCAGUGGUGAAAGCCCACAGCUCAACUGUGGAAUUGCCUUUGAUACUGUCAAGCUUGAAUUAGGUUGAGGUUGGCGGAAUGUGACAUGUAGCGGUGAAAUGCAUAGAUAUGUCAUAGAACACCAAUUGCGAAGGCAGCUGGCUAGACCUUAAUUGACGCUGAGGCACGAAAGCGUGGGGAGCGAACAGGAUUAGAUA